This 209-nucleotide ribosomal RNA is filed under the name uncultured bacterium. RNAcentral describes it as "partial 16S ribosomal RNA". It matches the Rfam family "Bacterial small subunit ribosomal RNA", at positions 128 to 334 of the family's 1533-position model. The record is from RNAcentral.
GCCUUUCUAGAGGGGGGAAACAUUUGGAAACAAAUGCUAAUACCGCAUAAGAUUACAGUACCGCAUGAUACAGUGAUCAAAGGAGCAAUCCGCUGAAAGAUGGGCUCGCGUCCGAUUAGAUAGUUGGUGAGGUAACGGCUCACCAAGUCGACGAUCGGUAGCCGGACUGAGAGGUUGAACGGCCACAUUGGGACUGAGACACGGCCCAG